GCCGGCCUUCCCACACUGAUUUGCUUCAUCCCCGUGGAGGCUCCCUUCACUCACAAUCCUCUUGUGAUGCUAUCCACCGUGAUGUGACACCGCCAGAGGGCCUCAUGAAAGCCAGCAAGGUUUGUGGACUGUCAGCCCCCAAAACUGAGCUAAAGAAACCUCUCUUGUUUAUGAAGCACCCAACCCCAACUAUUUUGUUUUAGUCACAAAAAACUGCCUAACACCCUCCCUGAUAUUUCCACACUAGUGCCUUCCUCUCCAGUCAGGGCAAUGAGGGAAACCACCCCAUGCCCCAUGACAAAGCCUUGUCUCCUACCUUCCUACCUUCUCCAUGUUGCCUGGCUCUCUCCACCUGUACAGGCACUGCAAUGAUGUGGACCACUGUGGCCUCUGGUGGACACAAGUGCUGUGGCCUCCUGCCUGGUUUCCCAGAGAGAGGGGAUAAAGGAAAGCGUCUCCUGAACUCCUAGAUCGACGCCCAGAAUCAGCUCGUACUGCCUGGGCUCCUUUCCUCUGUGACACUUAGCUCAGAGGGCUGGGUGGUCCUGAUCAACGUCUCUUGCCCUCAAGAGACAGAAAUGUCUGAAAAUGUGGAGAAUGUUCCUAUUCUACAUCCCAGCUGCAGCACAGUCCUAGACUGCAGACACACAGCUGACCUUGUUUGAACCUGUAAAGUAGUGAGUGCCGACCUCAGCUAUGCCCUUCGUUUGGGCUAUAUUCCUUCCUGUUAAAGAGCCCACCUUGGAGGGGGGUUGUUGAUGCCCUCUUUUGUGGUGUCAGCUAUGACAGUUACAUGGAGC
RNAcentral lists this long non-coding RNA (800 nucleotides) under Chinchilla lanigera (long-tailed chinchilla). RNAcentral's name for it is "lncRNA (ENSCLAG00000028476.1)". Lineage: Eukaryota; Metazoa; Chordata; Mammalia; Rodentia; Chinchillidae. The record is from RNAcentral.